AUUUGGCGGACGGGUGAGUAACACGUGGGCAACCUACCCUAUAGUUUGGGAUAACUCCGGGAAACCGGGGCUAAUACCGAAUAAUCUCUUUUGCUUCAUGGUGAAAGACUGAAAGACGGUUUCGGCUGUCGCUAUAGGAUGGGCCCGCGGCGCAUUAGCUAGUUGGUGAGGUAACGGCUCACCAAGGCGACGAUGCGUAGCCGACCUGAGAGGGUGAUCGGCCACACUGGGACUGAGACACGGCCCAGACUCCUACGGGAGGCAGCAGUAGGGAAUCUUCCACAAUGGGCGAAAGCCUGAUGGAGCAACGCCGCGUGAGUGAAGAAGGUUUUCGGAUCGUAAAACUCUGUUGUAAGGGAAGAACAAGUACAGUAGUAACUGGCUGUACCUUGACGGUACCUUAUUAGAAAGCCACGGCUAACUACGUGCCAGCAGCCGCGGUAAUAAUC
This 449-nucleotide ribosomal RNA is filed under the name Bacillus cereus. RNAcentral describes it as "bacterial SSU rRNA". It matches the Rfam family "Bacterial small subunit ribosomal RNA", at positions 93 to 526 of the family's 1533-position model. Lineage: Bacteria; Bacillati; Bacillota; Bacilli; Caryophanales; Bacillaceae. The record is from RNAcentral.